Molecule: small RNA, 492 nt
Filed under: Vigna angularis var. angularis
Lineage: Eukaryota; Viridiplantae; Streptophyta; Magnoliopsida; Fabales; Fabaceae
Description: Non-protein coding transcript
Source: RNAcentral
GUGGAAUAUAGCUUUCAAGAUUGACAUUAAGAAAGCUUUUGAUACUCUUAAUUGGACUUCUUUGUUUUCUGUCUUAAAAGCCUUUUGGUCUUUGGUUUUAGUCAGUCAUAUCGUGUAAGAUGCUUAAAUUGUUCGGUUCUGAUAAAUGGCAAGCUAACUGGUUUUUUCCUUGAUCUAGAGAGACGAGGAAAAGGGGUCCUUUAUCUCCUCUACUAUUCUGCUUGGAAGAGAAGGUGUUGAACAGAAGCAUUACAAAGAUUGUAGAAAAUUGCAACCUUAUUUUAAUGGAUUAUGGUUCGAUUUCUAAUCAGAUGAUUAACUGUAUAAGUCUGAGUUCUACACUAAAAGCAAGUUCCUGAGAAGCAAGAUAGAUGAACUCUGAACUCAUUGUUCUUUUCGAAAAAAUCGUGUCCCAUUCCAAUUUUCAGCUACCCCUUUUCGCCAUGCAUGCUUUCAUGCAAGUUUUCACUCUUUCCCCUCUUCCGCCGCCGC